RNAcentral lists this ribosomal RNA (235 nucleotides) under uncultured bacterium. RNAcentral describes it as "partial 16S ribosomal RNA". It matches the Rfam family "Bacterial small subunit ribosomal RNA", at positions 1270 to 1500 of the family's 1533-position model. The record is from RNAcentral.
GAUCUCUUAAAGCUGUUCUCAGUUCGGACNGCAGUCUGCAACUCGACUGCACGAAGCUGGAAUCGCUAGUAAUCGCGGAUCAGCACGCCGCGGUGAAUACGUUCCCGGGCCUUGUACACAUCGCCCGUCACACCAUGGAAGUCUGCAAUGCCCGAAGCCGGUGGCCUAACCACUUAUGUGGAAGGAGCCGUCUAAGGCAGGGCAGAUGACUGGGGUGAAGUCGUAACAAGGUAUC